Molecule: ribosomal RNA, 253 nt
Filed under: uncultured bacterium
Lineage: Bacteria
Description: partial 16S ribosomal RNA
Rfam family: Bacterial small subunit ribosomal RNA
Source: RNAcentral
UACAGAGGGUGCAAGCGUUAAUCGGAAUUACUGGGCGUAAAGCGCACGUAGGCGGCUAUGUAAGUCAGGUGUGAAAUCCCCGGGCUCAACCUGGGAACUGCACUUGGGACUGCAUGGCUAGAGUAUGGGAGAGGAAGGCGGAAUUCCCGGUGUAGCGGUGAAAUGCGUAGAGAUCGGGAGGAACAUCAGUGGCGAAGGCGGCCUUCUGGCCCAAUACUGACGCUCAGGUGCGAAAGAGUGGGGAGCAAACAGG